RNAcentral lists this ribosomal RNA (479 nucleotides) under uncultured bacterium. Its description in RNAcentral is "bacterial SSU rRNA". It matches the Rfam family "Bacterial small subunit ribosomal RNA", at positions 328 to 793 of the family's 1533-position model. The record is from RNAcentral.
UCAGUCGACUCCUACGGGGAGGCAGCAGUGGGGAAUAUUGCACAAUGGGGGAAACCCUGAUGCAGCCAUGCCGCGUGUGUGAAGAAGGCCUUCGGGUUGUAAAGCACUUUCAGUAGGGAGGAAGGUAGUGUAGUUAACACCUGCAUUAUUUGACGUUACCUACAGAAGAAAGCACCGGCUAACUCCGUGCCAGCAGCCGCGGUAAUACGGAGGGUGCGAGCGUUAAUCGGAAUUACUGGGCGUAAAGCGCAUGCAGGCGGCCUGUUAAGUCAGAUGUGAAAGCCCGGGGCUUAACCUCGGAAUUGCAUUUGAAACUGGCAGGCUAGAGUCUUGUAGAGGGGGGGUAGGAAUUUCAGGUGUAGCGGUGAAAUGCGUAGGGAUCUGAAGGAAUACCAGUGGCGAAGGCGGCCCCCCUCGGACAAAGACUGACGCUCAGAUGCGAAAGCGUGGGGAGCAAACAGGAUUAGAUACCCUGGUAG